AACGACUGGAUUAUUCAGGUUUAAUUCUAACUAACUUCUUGACACGUACUUCAAGAAAACAGGAUAUUCACAAACGUUACAGACCAGUUGUAUGGUAUACUGAUAAACAUUGUAUGGUGGAGUGGAAUGGAAUGAUUCAAGAAUUGACCAGUAUAAAUGGUACUGUAGGCUUUUGAAGGAAUUUGCAACGGAAACAUUUACAGUAAAUGGAAUGCCAGCACCAAUAUAUGUAGCGAAGAGAAUGGCUUAUUCCCAGGAAGAUGACAAUUUCGGUAUGGUUGAAAUGAAGGACUUGUUGGUGCCACUUUGUAACACCGCCUAUCUUCUAAACUGUCAGACACCAGCCAAUGCUGUCAUAAAAGAAAAGAAACCAGACUUUGACGUU
Mytilus trossulus (common blue mussel) is the source of this 385-nucleotide long non-coding RNA. RefSeq lists it as uncharacterized. The transcript has 3 exons. Lineage: Eukaryota; Metazoa; Mollusca; Bivalvia; Mytilida; Mytilidae. The record is from RefSeq and is a predicted model, not a curated record.